UAGGGAAUCUUCGGCAAUGGACGAAAGUCUGACCGAGCAACGCCGCGUGAGUGAAGAAGGUUUUUCGGAUCGUAAAACUCUGUUGGUAGAGAAGAACGUUGGUGAGAGUGGGAAAGCUCAUCAAGUGACGGUAACUACCCAGAAAGGGACGGCUAACUCGUGCCAC
RNAcentral lists this ribosomal RNA (166 nucleotides) under uncultured bacterium. RNAcentral describes it as "partial 16S rRNA". It matches the Rfam family "Bacterial small subunit ribosomal RNA", at positions 355 to 511 of the family's 1533-position model. The record is from RNAcentral.